This 351-nucleotide ribosomal RNA is filed under the name uncultured bacterium. Its description in RNAcentral is "bacterial SSU rRNA". It matches the Rfam family "Bacterial small subunit ribosomal RNA", at positions 917 to 1267 of the family's 1533-position model. The record is from RNAcentral.
GGACCCGCACAAGCGGUGGAGCAUGUGGUUUAAUUCGAUGCAACGCGAAAAAACCUUACCUACACUUGACAUACUUCGAAUUUUCUAGAGAUAGAUUAGUGCCUUCGGGAGCGAAGAUACAGGUGCUGCAUGGCUGUCGUCAGCUCGUGUCGUGAGAUGUUGGGUUAAGUCCUAUAACGAGCGCAACCCUUACCCUUAUUUGCCAGCGGUUAGGCCGGGAACUAUAAGGGAACUGCCGGUAAUAAGCCGGAGGAAGGUGGGGACGACGUCAAGUCAUCAUGGCCCUUACGUGUAGGGCUACACACGUGCUACAAUGGGAGAUACAGACGGUUGCUAAAGCGCGAGCUGGAG